CAAGAAGAUAAUGAUUGGGGUAAUGCUUUUACACUUCAGGGAUCACCAGGAUUGCCAGUAAACCACCAGAAUUCAGGAGAGAAAUUUGGAACAGAUUUCUGCUCACAACCAAUAGAAGCAAUCCUGCUUGCUUGAUUGACCUCAGACUUUUAGGUUGCAGAAAUGUCCAAUAGGACUCCAGGACUUGCCAGCUCUAGCUUUAUGUGAAAACAAGAUUAGAUGCAUUUCUGGCUGGACACAGGAAACAAAGCCGGAACCAGUGGAUAAGAGUUUUACAGAAGCAAAUUUUGGCACAAUGAAAAGAUAAUCUUCCCAUGGACAAAGGGUGCCCAAAAUUGGAAUGAGAAUUCUGUGAGACUGUGGCAUCCCCAUCGUAAGAGGGGAGAAGUGAAAGGUGGUGAUUUUAUGCCUGACUCCAAAUCAAAGUUAUUGGAGCCAAGCAGUAGCCAGGAGGAAGAAUUUUGCCUUUCAAGGCAUAGCACUUUGCUUCUCAGAUCAGCACCCAUCCCUCCUGUAUUUGCAAAGUCCCCCAGAUUGUGGAGCUGCUCUGACUCAAGUUUAUCUUCAGAAGAAACUUUCGGGAUCCAGCAAUCGCCUGACUGUGGAGAAUCUAAAACUCCAUAUAUUGACUUUUAAAUAAUGCCUCGGUCUUUAGCCACACAGUGCACACAUAUUAGAGAUAAGUGGUACUUUCCCUUGUUGAGAUUUCCUGGACUCAUGCAUCUUGAAUAAGAUGAGCAAAGCCCAGUGUGGACUCCUGAGGAGAAAGUUUGUCUUCAGCAUCCCCCAG
Non-coding RNA from Odocoileus virginianus texanus, 790 nucleotides. The record is from RefSeq and is a predicted model, not a curated record. NCBI's taxonomy places the organism in Eukaryota, Metazoa, Chordata, Mammalia, Artiodactyla, Cervidae.